AUUGAACGCUGGCGGCAGGCUUAACACAUGCAAGUCGAGCGAGCGGCGGCCGGGUGAGUAAUGUCUGGGACACUGCCUGAUGGAGGGGGAUAACUACUGGAAACGGUAGCUAAUACCGCAUACCAUCAGAUGUGCCCAGAUGGGAUUAGCGAGUCGGUGGGGUGAUGGCUCACCUAGGCGACUAUCCCUAGCUGGUCUGCGAGGAUGACCAGCAACACGGGAAUGGAGACACGGGCCAGAAGCCUACGGGAGGCAUCAGUGGGGAAUAGUGAACAAUGGGCGAAAGCCUGAUGCAGCCAUGCCGCGUGUGUGAAGAAGGCCUUCGGGUUGUAAAGCACUUUCAGCGAGGAGGCGUUACUCGCAGAAGAAGCACCGGCUAACUCCGUGCCAGCAGCCGCGGUAAUUC
This 406-nucleotide ribosomal RNA is filed under the name uncultured bacterium. RNAcentral's name for it is "partial 16S ribosomal RNA". It matches the Rfam family "Bacterial small subunit ribosomal RNA", at positions 30 to 526 of the family's 1533-position model. The record is from RNAcentral.